Long non-coding RNA from Lates calcarifer (barramundi perch), 1684 nucleotides. RefSeq lists it as uncharacterized. The transcript has 3 exons. NCBI's taxonomy places the organism in Eukaryota, Metazoa, Chordata, Actinopteri, Centropomidae. The record is from RefSeq and is a predicted model, not a curated record.
GUUUUUCAGACGCUGGUGCUGACUCAUCCCCUGAAAACAGAACUGACCCCUGCAGUGAAUAGGGGCACUCAGAUGGAGGUUGUGACCUCUCAGCCUGCAAAAACAGACCUGACCCCUGUACUAAGGAUGGCAAUCGACAUACAGACAGUUGUUGUGUCUCUGGAGCUAUGGAGUCUCAUGUGCAGCUGUGUGUCACCUGCUGCUCUGAUCAUUAGCCCCAUCAUUAUGGAUCUACUACUAUUUGUAUUAUCUGAAGUGUUAUUAUACUGCCACUCUCGCUGCUCUCAUGUCAUUACUAUAUGACACGCUGAUGAGACGAUGUUAGUGGGCCUCAUCCAGAAUGAUGACGACUGGGCCUAUAGAGAGGAGGUGGAACAGCUGGAGUACUGAUGCAGGAGCAACAACCUGAUCCUAAACGUCAAAAAACAAAAGAAAUCAUUGUUGACUUAAGGAAGAACCAGCCUGGCCACUCACCACUGCUGAUCAACAACACGGCAGUAAAGGUAGUGGGAAGCACAAAGUUCCUGGGGGUCCACAUCACAGAUACCCUAAACUGGACUGUAAACACUGGGUCCCUGGCAAAGCGUGUGCAGCAGUGUUUGCACUUUCUCUGGAGGAUCACACUUUCCCCCUCCCAUCCUCAUCACUUUUUACAGAAGCACUGUAGAGAGCAUUAUGACCAACUGCAUCUAUGGCUGCAGACUGGAAGUGCCUACAGAGAGUGGUUAGGACAGCGGAGAAGAUCACUGGGACUUCUCUUCCCCCCAUCGCGGAGAUUAGACAGAAACACUGUCUGUCAUGGGCUAUCAACAUCACCAGAGACUGCACACACCCCCACCAUAGACUGUGCUCUGUGAUGGCCUCUGGCAGGAGGUAUCCGAGCCUUAAAAGCAGAACAGCCAGGUUCUGCAACAGCUUUAUCCCACAGGCCAUAAGACUGCUAAAGUCCCUAUAGACAGUCUCUUAAAUACUUACACACUUACACACCAUACUGUCUGUUCUAGUACUGCAGGCAUAAUACACCAAGAAGGAUCAUAAAGUAGGACAGUCUUCUAUUAUAUAAAUUAGAAGACAUCCAAGUCAUCAGACUAACAUAUAACUUAUAGCCCAGGUCCUACAUUUAAAGUCCCUUUACUGUAAAAAUAUGUAGUACUCUACAUUAACACAGAGUUGGUGGUUGGUGGGGUGCUUUGGCUCUGAAAUAACCAACACUUCUUUCCAAUUCACAACAGUUUUCCUGUAUAGAAUUUCAAGACAUCCAAGUCAUCAGGGUCACACAGUAUACUACCAGGUCCUACAUGGAGGUCUCUUUAAUGUCAGAAUUUGCAUUGCACAAUCUUAUUCCACACCUGUACAAGUUCUACAAAACACAAAAGAGCACAAAAGAGUCAGCUCGGUUCUAAUGACAACUUAUUCAGUGACUCUUAGGUGCUGGACCAAUAAUCAUAUUAAAGUGGCUGAGAUUUUACUUUCUCCUCUCCUUUCACUGGAGACAGCAGUUUUUCAUUCUGAGCUUAGUGAGCGAGCAGAUGCCGAGACAGGAGGACUUUCAGAUGCGGGACUCACUGUGAGUCCACAGAAGGGACAAAGAUCCCCCCUCGGCAGCUGACCGUUUCCAUACAUCCCGACUGUUAAUGAACAUUACAAUUUGACUAAUAAUCGUAUUAAAGUGGCUGAGAUUUGA